AUAUCAGUAAGCGGAGGAAAAGAAAAUAACAAUGAUUACCUUAGUAGCGGCGAGUGAAUAGGUAAAAGCCCAAGAUGUUAAUCUGCUAUAAUGUAGUAGAAUUGUAAUCUAUAGAGUAGCUCAGAAAGUCAAGACUAAUCAUAAGUUCCUUGGAAUAGGACGCCAGAGAAGGUGAAAGCCCUGUCUUCGGAUUAGUUGAGGCAAUAUGAGAUAUUUCUAAGAGUCGGGUAGUUUGGGAAUGCUGCCCUAAGUUGAAGGUAAACCCCUUCUAAAGCUAAAUAUGACCAUGAGACCGAUAGCGCACAAGUA
RNAcentral lists this ribosomal RNA (309 nucleotides) under uncultured eukaryote. RNAcentral describes it as "partial large subunit ribosomal RNA". It matches the Rfam family "Eukaryotic large subunit ribosomal RNA", at positions 40 to 350 of the family's 3401-position model. The record is from RNAcentral.